GGGCCAGACUCCUACGGGAGGCAGCAGUGAGGAAUAUUGGUCAAUGGCCGAGAGGCUGAACCAGCCAAGUCGCGUGAGGGAAGACGGCCCUACGGGUUGUAAACCUCUUUUGUCGGGGAGCAAAGCGAGUCACGUGUGACUCAUUGAGAGUACCCGAAGAAAAAGCAUCGGCUAACUCCGUGCCAGCAGCCGCGGUAAUACGGAGGAUGCGAGCGUUAUCCGGAUUUAUUGGGUUUAAAGGGUGCGCAGGAGAAGGUGCAAGGCAGGGGUCAAAUUGCGGGGCUCAACCUCGUCGAGCCGUUGAAACUGGGUGCCUUGAGUGGGCGAGAAGUACGCGGAAUGCGUGGUGUAGCGGUGAAAUGCAUAAAUAUCACGCAGAACUCCGAUUGCGAAGGCAGCGUACCGGCGCCCAACUGACGCUGAAGCACGAAGGCGUGGGUAUCGAACAGGAUUAGAUACCCCUGUA
This 466-nucleotide ribosomal RNA is filed under the name uncultured bacterium. RNAcentral's name for it is "bacterial SSU rRNA". It matches the Rfam family "Bacterial small subunit ribosomal RNA", at positions 328 to 792 of the family's 1533-position model. The record is from RNAcentral.